RNAcentral lists this long non-coding RNA (2293 nucleotides) under Sus scrofa (pig). RNAcentral describes it as "lncRNA (ENSSSCG00015071242.1)". The record is from RNAcentral. Lineage: Eukaryota; Metazoa; Chordata; Mammalia; Artiodactyla; Suidae.
GUGCAAGGGAAGUGGAUUUCACCAAAAAAAAAAAAAAAAAAAAAAAAAAAGACAAGGUUCUUUAGGAAGGAAAGUGAAGGAACUGAAACUGUAUGUUUAUUUCUUCAGUGAAAGAAGGAACAUUUUUUAUUUUUUGCUUUUUUAGGGUCUCACCCACAGCACAUGGAAAUUCCCAGGCUAGGGGUCGAAUUGGAGAUGUAGCUGCCAGCCAUAGCCACAGCCACAGCAAUGCCAGAUCUGAGGUGUGUCUGCAACCUACACCGCAGCUCACACUUAACCCACUGAACUGAGGCCAGGGAUCAAACCCACAUCCUCAUGGACACUAAUCAGGUUCAUUGCCACUGAAUCACAAUGGGAACUCCUUAGACUUUCCAUGACUUUGAAAUCAUAAAUGCUCAGGCCUCUUGGUGACAAAAUGGCUGGAAAGUAAGCGGAGACUAUAAUGCUUUCCUCUUCCUUUGUCCACAGGGCCUUACUUCUUGGUUUUUAGGAACUUCCUUCUCUCAGAAUAUCCCCUUAUCUGGCCUCUUGGAGACUCUGGCCCAGGAGAGCAUAUUUGCACUUGCCUUGACUGAAGGCUUCCUCCCUCAGACCUAGCUGAAGGCUUAAGUACAUAUUUCCAUGUUCAAUUUCAAGAAAGUAAUCCUCAACAGGCAUGAUUUGAUAGAACUUGUAGCUCAUCUGUGAAGACACUGAAAUACACACCAUCUACUUAUUGUCAACAAAUGCUUUAUGGUUGGAUGGGAAUGACUUGUCAUAUGACAACUCCUAGGGGAGGCCAAGGAAGGGGCAGAUUCCUGGUCCUGGUCCUUAGGUGGAGAAGUCACUCCAAACUUUAUCUCCUUUUGGAAACCUGGCAGGCUUCACCCCCUGGGGCUACAAGGGUGGGACCCACAGGGGGAAGAACAUUAUCAGAACCCUCUCCUGAUGGGAUUAAAACCCAAUACUUAAUUAUCUUGUAAGAGAGAAAAUGAAUGAUAAGGAUUCUAGUAGCUUGAAUUUAUUUAAUUACAAAAUCAGUGAAAAAAUCAAAUUAAAGGAGCACAUAAAACUUAACAAAAAUGGAUCAAUGGUUAAUUGAGGAGUCUGAAUUACAGAUCUUUCUGAUGCAUAUAUAUUUUCAAGUAGAAGAGUCUGCUUUAAUAUUUAAAAUAGAUUAAUAUGAAUAGUUUUUAUUCUCAUAUUUAAACCAGCUUAAGAUUAGUGCAGUUUAUUCUUUUAAAUUGGUUCACCAUAUAGAGAAAAUGUCUAAAAGUACCAGGUCAAAUUGUUUAUUAUAAAAUCUUAAUUGAAUCUGAAUCAAGAAUCACAAGAUUUGGUUUAGUUAGUUGUAUCCUCUUAUUUACAUUUAAUACAAUUAAAUACUGUGAAAAUCCAUAUAUAUAUUUUUGUAAUCUGUUCAUAGAGCUCGAUUUUUUAAAAGAAAACAUUUUUAUAGUUAUGAUCUAUGUAAUGUAAUAUUUAUAAUCUAUUAAAGACAUAACAUUACUAAAAAUUGGUUUUGCCCUAGAUUAAUUGCAUUUAAUUAAAGAACAAUUUAUAAAGUACUCGGUAUGUACAAAAGCUUAAUAGCCAGUACAAAAGCAGAAAGAUAUUUAGGGAGAUAAAUAUAUAAAUGAGAGCCUAAACUUAACUUAUUAAAUUCAUAAGAACAAAAAUAAAUCCAUGAGUUAAAAACAGAGGAAUUAUAUCUAGUUGGAAAAUAAGAAAUAUGUUCAUUGAGAACAGGUAAUCUGAUGGAGACCUUGAAGGUAGAUGGGAUUUCAGUGGACAAUGUUUGGGAAGAAAUAUACUGAGAGGAGGAAGGAGCAUAAAUUAGAGCUUAGAGGAAAGAUGCAUGGGGUAAAUUCUUGGAUGAAGCACUCAAACUUAACUGUAGUACAGAUAAACUCCAUGGUAUGUUGGCAGUCUAUUUUCUCAGAGCUCUUCUGGAAUGUUGAUUUUGUGGUUUGAUUUAGGGCAACAGCCAUGCCUUGAAUGUCUACUAAAUGAGCCAAAGCAGGGGAAUAAAAGAUAAAGGAAGGGUACAUACACUUUCUGACCUUAGAUCACUUCCAGUGGGGCAAAUCCUUUCAAAUUUUAGAGUUACUAGAGAUUUGUCUGGAAUGCUGUUGGAUGCAGAGAAGCCUCUAAACCAGACACGGGGGGNGGGAUGAAAAAAGAGAGAGUGUUUGAGUUUGGGGAAAUAUAGAUAGUCCAUGGUUCUAGAAGAUUCAUUCAGGUAAUUUCUAAGGCGUGUCAUUACUGCUUCAUUCCUUUUGGGUUUUGUAUUUUUGUUUGGUUUUUGAUGUGA